This 592-nucleotide ribosomal RNA is filed under the name Fusarium solani. Its description in RNAcentral is "partial 28S ribosomal RNA". It matches the Rfam family "Eukaryotic large subunit ribosomal RNA", at positions 1 to 603 of the family's 3401-position model. Lineage: Eukaryota; Fungi; Ascomycota; Sordariomycetes; Hypocreales; Nectriaceae. The record is from RNAcentral.
UUGACCUCGAAUCAGGUAGGAAUACCCGCUGAACUUAAGCAUAUCAAUAAGCGGAGGAAAAGAAACCAACAGGGAUUGCCCCAGUAACGGCGAGUGAAGCGGCAACAGCUCAAAUUUGAAAUCUGGCUCUCGGGCCCGAGUUGUAAUUUGUAGAGGAUGCUUUUGGUGAGGUGCCUUCCGAGUUCCCUGGAACGGGACGCCAUAGAGGGUGAGAGCCCCGUCUGGUUGGACACCGAUCCUCUGUAAAGCUCCUUCGACGAGUCGAGUAGUUUGGGAAUGCUGCUCUAAAUGGGAGGUAUAUGUCUUCUAAAGCUAAAUACCGGCCAGAGACCGAUAGCGCACAAGUAGAGUGAUCGAAAGAUGAAAAGAACUUUGAAAAGAGAGUUAAACAGUACGUGAAAUUGUUGAAAGGGAAGCGCUUGUGACCAGACUUGGGCUUGGUUGAUCAUCCGGGGUUCUCCCCGGUGCACUCUUCCGGCUCAGGCCAGCAUCAGUUCGCCCUGGGGGAUAAAGGCUUCGGGAAUGUGGCUCUCUCCGGGGAGUGUUAUAGCCCGCUGCGUAAUACCCUGUGGCGGACUGAGGUUCGCGCAUC